CAUUGGGUCAUCUAUAGGGUCAUUGGGUCAUCCUGGGGGUCAUCAGGUCAGCUGUGGGGUCAUCAGGUCAUCCAUGGGGUCAUUGGGUCAUCUAUAGGGUCGUUGGGUCAUCCAUAGGGUCAUCAGGUCAGCUGUGGGGUCAUCAGGUCAUCCAUGGGGUCAUUGGGUCAGCUGUGGGGUCAUCAGGUCAUCCAUGGGGUCAUUGGGUCAGCUGUGGGGUCAUUGGGUCAUCUAUAGGGUCGUUGGGUCAUCCUGGGGGUCAUCAGGUCAGCUGUGGGGUCAUCAGGUCAUCCAUGGGGUCAUUGGGUCAUCUAUAGGGUCGUUGGGUCAUCCAUAGGGUCAUCAGGUCAGCUGUGGGGUCAUUGGGUCAUCUAUAGGGUCGCUGGGUCGUCCAUGGGGUCAUCGGGUCAGCUGUGGGGUCAUCAGGUCAUCCAUGGGGUCAUUGGGUCAUCCAUAGGGUUGCUGGGUCAUCCAUGGGGUCAUCGGGUCAGCUGUGGGGUCAU
Tympanuchus pallidicinctus (lesser prairie-chicken) is the source of this 503-nucleotide long non-coding RNA. RefSeq lists it as uncharacterized. The record is from RefSeq and is a predicted model, not a curated record. NCBI's taxonomy places the organism in Eukaryota, Metazoa, Chordata, Aves, Galliformes, Phasianidae. The transcript has 5 exons.